This 468-nucleotide ribosomal RNA is filed under the name uncultured bacterium. Its description in RNAcentral is "partial 16S ribosomal RNA". It matches the Rfam family "Bacterial small subunit ribosomal RNA", at positions 28 to 507 of the family's 1533-position model. The record is from RNAcentral.
GACGAACGCUGGCGGCGUGCUUAAUACAUGCAAGUCGAACGGAAAGGCCCUGCUUUUGUGGGGUGCUCGAGUGGCGAACGGGUGAGUAACACGUGAGUAACCUGCCCUUGACUUUGGGAUAACUUCAGGAAACUGGGGCUAAUACCGGAUAGGAGCUCCUGCUGCAUGGUGGGGGUUGGAAAGUUUCGGCGGUUGGGGAUGGACUCGCGGCUUAUCAGCUUGUUGGUGGGGUAGUGGCUUACCAAGGCUUUGACGGGUAGCCGGCCUGAGAGGGUGACCGGCCACAUUGGGACUGAGAUACGGCCCAAACUCCUACGGGAGGCAGCAGUGGGGAAUAUUGCACAAUGGGCGGAAGCCUGAUGCAGCAACGCCGCGUGCGGGAUGACGGCCUUCGGGUUGUAAACCGCUUUCGCCUGUGACGAAGCGUGAGUGACGGUAAUGGGUAAAGAAGCACCGGCUAACUACGUG